Salvelinus sp. IW2-2015 is the source of this 1831-nucleotide long non-coding RNA. RefSeq lists it as uncharacterized. The record is from RefSeq and is a predicted model, not a curated record. NCBI's taxonomy places the organism in Eukaryota, Metazoa, Chordata, Actinopteri, Salmoniformes, Salmonidae.
AAAGUAAAAGUAAAGUUAAACACGCAAUUUUUGAGGACUUGCAAUUUUUGAGGACUCGAUACUCCUGUUCCAAUUGUUUGCAGAGAUUGAGAGGUUGAAAACAUGAACACAGGGCCUACAGUUGUUCACAUCGCUACAAUAGAUGAUUUAUGUGAUCAGGUUUUCUGAGUGAGAUCUGUCUGAGCAGUCCAGAGUCUAAAUCAGACAUCAGACUGGAUGGAGCCUGAGGGAGACCCUGGAGUCCUGAGCAGGAGUGUGACGCAGGAGAGAGUGGAGUCUCCUGCUCCCAGCUGUCUGUCUAUGAAGAGUGACUGGUCAAUGGAGCCACCAGAAAACUUUAAAAGAGGAAUCUGGACCCUUGAUAUAAGUGUCAAACAGGAGAGAGUAGAGUCACCUGCUCCCAGCUGUCUCUACAAGAAGAGUGACAGGUCAAUGGAGCCACCAGAAAACUUUAAAAGAGAAACCUGGACUCCCGAUCCAAGGUAUUGAUAUGAACAAAAAUAGGACAGCGCUCUGGUGAAUAAACUUAAAAUAACAUAUUUUUAUUGAUGCACAAACGUUUUGGGUAUGAGCCCGUUCUUCAGCGUGCAUAGGAGGCAAUGUUACGACAACAAUACAGGCCACACAAUUAUAGAUUCACAAAGUCAGUAUUAGCCCAAUCAUGAGAUCCCAGCAGAGGGAGCUGUGGGGGAAACAUGACAAUAUAUAUACACAAACACACAAUAAAGAUCCAUGGUGAUGUCAUCGCAGCCUAUAGGAGUGUGUUUUCGGCCUACAUAUUUAUAGCCUUCAACAUAAAACAAGAAAAGGAACAUUCCUCAUUUAGGCCUGCUGGGGCCUAAAUGGAGAAGUCAUUUAUCCCUACUUCCUCCCCUACGUGGUGCAUUGAAAUGGUGCCCUCACCAUUUCAAUGCCCAUAUAACGUAAGGCACUUAGUUUACGAUUAUGGCUGUUGAAAUGCUUCGCAACAGGAAUAUUUUCAUCAUGGUUGUGAAUGGAGCGCUUAUGCUCACAAAUCCUCGUCUUAAGUUCAUGUUUGGUCUUACCCACAUAAUACAAGUUAAAGGAACACUUAAGGAGAAAUACAACAUAUUUGAUGUUACAGGUUAUUCUACCUCAAACCUUUAUCCUCACACGAAUGGGGAUGGAUAAGAGAGUUCCCUCUGAUCAUGGCAUAACUGUGGACACAGUUGUGACAUGGGAAAAUACCAUCAGGAAUGAUAUGCAAUGCUUUUUUCUUAGGCAAAUCUGACCAUACUAAGCAAUCCUGUACAUUUGAGAGUCUCUUAUAGCAAAACCUUUGGGGAGAUUCAUAUUAUUUUCCAAAGCUGGAGUCGCUGUGUAAUAUGUGCCAAUGUCUAUUAACCACUUCCUCGAUCAACCUUGAAAUGGGACUGUAGGUGGGUGGACACCAACGUUGUAGAGGGAGGAGAGGAAUUAUUUUGACGUGGUUGCAGUAAUAGAUUCCACUCAGUUUCUCUUACCGUCUUAAGGCAAUUGUCCUAUAAUUCUUCUUUAUACCCUCUUGUUUUGAAUCGUUCACAUAAAUCUUUGGCAUGUACAGUACAUUAAAUGUUAAAUCAGAAUCACAAAUGUGCCUAAUGUGAAGGAGUUGACUAUAUGGUCAAUAAUUGUAUUUAUGAAAGUGUAUGAUAACUACUGAAAUUAAGAAAUGUAUUUCUAUCUGUUUCUUUUCUAUGCUCCUCAGUGUGCAGGCCGUUGCCAUCUUUCUUAAACAAAACAUCCAAAAAGGAAACAUGAUCUUUAUUGGAUACCAACGUGAAUUUAAUGGUCGACACCCUGGAAUUUAUAUACAGUGCAUUCGGAAUAU